Molecule: ribosomal RNA, 254 nt
Filed under: uncultured bacterium
Lineage: Bacteria
Description: partial 16S ribosomal RNA
Rfam family: Bacterial small subunit ribosomal RNA
Source: RNAcentral
UACAGAGGGUGCAAGCGUUAUCCGGAUUUAUUGGGCGUAAAGCGUUUCGUAGGCGGUUUAGUGAGUUAUUUUUCAAAGACCACGGCUUAACCGGGGGAAGGGAGGUAAUACUGCUAGACUUGAUUUUUGGUGGGGCUUCUGGAACUGAUGGUGUAGUAGUGAAAUACGUUGAUAUCAUCAGGAACUCCAAGGGCGUAGGCAGGAAGCUAACCAACUAAUGACGCUGAUGAACGAAAGCUAGGGGAGCGAAAGGG